UUCACUCGCAAUGAACAAGGAGCUACUAUCACAUUUCCAUACGGAGGAAGUAUUGGGCUGUUCUCAAAUUUAUGGCACUGUUUAAAGCAUCAAGAGUACUAGCUAGAAACUCAGUAGGAUUUAUCAUGGUUGCGUGUACUUACCCCCAUCAUGGUGUUUUGGAUGCUCUCGUUGCGGAAGCUUGAGCAUGUGAGCAAGCUAUCACUUUU
Molecule: long non-coding RNA, 209 nt
Filed under: Gossypium barbadense (sea-island cotton)
Lineage: Eukaryota; Viridiplantae; Streptophyta; Magnoliopsida; Malvales; Malvaceae
Description: long non-coding RNA (GBAR_LNC021538)
Source: RNAcentral